UACGGAGGGUGCAAGCGUUGUCCGGAUUUAUUGGGUUUAAAGGGUGCGUUGGCGGCCCGUUAAGUCAGCGGUGAAAUCCCAGGGCUCAACCCUGGAACUGCCGUUGAUACUGGCGGGCUUGAGUUCGGUCGAGGCGGGCGGAACUGGUGGUGUAGCGGUGAAAUGCAUAGAUACCACCAAGAAACCCGAUUGCGUAGGCAGCUCGCUAGGCCGAAACUGACGCUGAGGCACGAAAGCGUGGGGAGCGAACAGG
This 253-nucleotide ribosomal RNA is filed under the name uncultured bacterium. Its description in RNAcentral is "partial 16S ribosomal RNA". It matches the Rfam family "Bacterial small subunit ribosomal RNA", at positions 524 to 776 of the family's 1533-position model. The record is from RNAcentral.